This 494-nucleotide ribosomal RNA is filed under the name uncultured bacterium. RNAcentral's name for it is "partial 16S ribosomal RNA". It matches the Rfam family "Bacterial small subunit ribosomal RNA", at positions 28 to 507 of the family's 1533-position model. The record is from RNAcentral.
GACGAACGCUGGCGGCGUGCUUAACACAUGCGAGUCGAACGGAAAGGCCUGCUUUCCCUUGUGGAUUGCGGGUACUCGAGUGGCGAACGGGUGAGUAACACGUGAGUGAUCUGCCCCCAACUUGGGUAUAAGCCUGGGAAACUGGGUCUAAUUCCCGAUAGGACUGCAGGGCGGUGCCUGUGGUGGAAAACGAUUUUCUAGUGGUUGGGGAUGAGCUCGCGGCCUAUCAGCUUGUUGGUGGGGUAAUGGCCUACCAAGGCGGCGACGGGUAGCCGGCCUGGGAGGGUGGACGGCCACAUUGGGACUGAGAUACGGCCCAGACCCCUACGGGAGGCAGCAGUGGGGAAUAUUGCACAAUGGGCGGAAGCCUGAUGCAGCGACGCCGCGUGGGGGAUGACGGCCUUCGGGUUGUAAACUCCUUUCGACCGCGAGGAAGCCACCUGGUUGGAAGGGUGGUGACGGUAGUGGUAGAAGAAGCACCGGCUAACUACGUG